UAACAUAAACUGCCUAUAUACGUCCCACUGCUGGGCACAGGCCUCCCCUCAAUCAACGGGAAGGGGUAUGGAGCAUACUCCACCACGCUGCUCCACUGCGGGUUGGUGGAGGUGUUUUUACGGCUAAUAGCCGGGACCAACGGCUUAACGUGCCCUCCGAAGCACGGAAUCAUCUUACUUUUUCGGACAAUCAGGUGAUUCAAGCCUGAAAAGUCCUUACCAAACAAAGGACAGUCUCACAAAGUGAUUUCGACAAUGUCCCCAUCGGGAAUCGAACCCGGACCUCCAGAUCGUGAGCCUAACGCUCUAACCAGCUCUAGCAAUUUAUCACAAAUUUUAGCUGGACAGUAUGGAGAACUGACAAAAUUUAGUAACACUCAACGGUGCUGCGCCUACAUUUGAGCUUCUAGUUUUUAUCCUCAUUGCAUGGAAUUGAGGCUUGACAUUGUAGUAUUCUGCAAUCGUAAACCUGAUUCAGCUAUAAGCUACAGUAAGCAUUACUUAAUAUUUAAACAGUUCAUUUAAAUUGUAUGAGUUGGUUAUGUUUUUAAAAUUUUUUGUUACUUUUUUGGCUUUGCGGUCGUAUCAAAAAUGUACAUGUUGGAUUCAAAUGUGAAUCGCACUUGUAAAGUGGAUGGAGAGGAACAUCAUUACAUUACCUGGUUGAUAGGACCGCAGGGUCGAGAAUGGAUUCGAUCGUGACAACGCGACGUACUUUGUGAGCCCUGCUAGUUGCUGGCAGGAAAAUCGUAAUUUUGUGAUAGGUACAAUAAAAUUGACAACUUAAUAUUUGAUAAUUUUUGUACAAGUUUUCGAUGUGAACGAAAAACGGUUACAUCAGGAUUACGAAUGAUAUUCAAAGCAUUUCAUCUUAUCAGAGAGAACACCUGAAAAUAUGGUACAAAAGUGUAUGGAAUGAGUGCGGAGUGAGACGCAACACGGAAACUGCAUAAUAUUAAUAUAAUUAUGAGAUUUUAGUGAAUUGUAUUGAGCCAUUCUCGUGCUAUUUUUGUAACGUUAACUAGGCGCUUGUGUUGUGUUUAGUCUUAGUGUAAUCGUUAGCAUGUUGUUCCCUGCGCUGCGCACAGCCUGCGCCGGCGCACGUCGGCCGGGCCGAGUCAGAGCCGCGCAGGGGGUAGCAUGCUACAAUAAAUAUCAUUAAGAUGUAGUAUUUUUGUACGGCCGCGCGCGGGGCGCGGGGCGCGGGGCUCGGGCGGUGCUGGGUGGUGGCUCGUGACGUCACUGCGGCCCGCGCGCCGCGCGCGGCCAUUUGCUAAGGUUAACCACACCUACCUCAUGUAAUAAAAGUAAGUUUAUUUAAGACUGAUCGAAAUUAAUGUAACCGGUGGUGUAAUCACCGUAGUAGAAGCCUGUUGUCUACUAGUAAUAUUAAUUUGUAGCUGUAUUAUGUAUGUUUCAGUUUGAGUAUAUCCAAAUUUAAGUUGUAAUCGACGAGUAAUAUCGCACAUUUUACUAAAUUUCAGUUUUUUAUCCGUGGACAACAGUGUUUUUCUUUUACACCUAAUUCUAUGUAUCUUAUGUUAAACUUCUGAAAUAUUGUUGAAAGAAGACUGAAAUUUUAUAAAUGUUCCUAUAUUUUAAUUUAGAAUAAUUUACUGCCUACCAUAUUUUCAUUUACAUUAUGUUUACCGUUUCCCUGGUAAUCAUUACUUUAAAUUCUUAUAAUCUUAUCAAUUGUGUAUGACGCUAUAUAUGUCAUGGAAUUUUUGAAAUUUUUAAUGGAAUUUUGUAUGAAAAAUUAAUCAAGUGAUUGAUAGAAA
Long non-coding RNA from Pectinophora gossypiella (pink bollworm), 1781 nucleotides. RefSeq lists it as uncharacterized. The transcript has 2 exons. The record is from RefSeq and is a predicted model, not a curated record. Lineage: Eukaryota; Metazoa; Arthropoda; Insecta; Lepidoptera; Gelechiidae.